Non-coding RNA from Malus domestica (apple), 1556 nucleotides. The record is from RefSeq and is a predicted model, not a curated record. Lineage: Eukaryota; Viridiplantae; Streptophyta; Magnoliopsida; Rosales; Rosaceae.
CCUACAAACACACGAAAAUAGCUUAAAACACUAUAAUAACCACAAACUAACUAUAAAAGUGCAAGAAAAUAAGCUAACUAAGUCGCAUAAAUAUGCUCCGAUCAGUUGUGAUAUCAAAUGGUCCGAUCUAUUUUUGCGCACAUGUUACACUCAUGACUAAGAAAACCUAUAUGGUUAGGGUUUGAUAUAAUGUGAUAAUUAAUAAAAGUUCGGAGCUACACGACACGGGAAUGUACUCAAAAGUGAUGGAAAACGUGUGUUUUCCUGGGAGGCCUCGAUGAGUUGGUCCAACAUACCUUGAGCCUCCAAGCAUCCUAUGUCUACGUACGCUGCGAGUCAGACAGGAAGGAUGCUAUGAAGGGUGAAGGGGAGAAGACUGAAGCGAUGGUUGUCCGUAACAUACAACGUGCUGCCAUUGCUGAGACGAUGGAUGAACAGGAACUUGUGGCUGAGCGAGGCACGGCCUUGAUCACCUCUACAGGUGAAGAGGGACAUUCAAACUCGGAGGACGAUCAUCACUAGCACAGAUUCAGCAACGAUGUCAAGUUCCAAUCUCACAAUAGGUCCUCUUGGCAAGAUUGCAACUGCAGCUUCCAGCAGUUAUCUAUGUACGCUUAGGGAUUAGGGAGUCUAGCAUCUACUAGUGAGAAAGAACUAGCGGAAAAAAUGGCUUGGAGAUUAGCUAACAGCAAGCAACCUUUCUUGUAUGUCAUUAGAUCUGGCUCAAUUUGUGGUUCCGAUUGGAUUGACCUAUUGCCUCAAGGUUUUGCUGAAGCUAUAGGAGAAAGAGGUGUUAGACUUAAUAUGUUCAUGUGAGCUGAGAAGAAAUCUUCGAAAGCACAGCAAGUCACACACAGCAGCAAACACUCAAGCACCCUAUGAUCACAAGCAAGGCCUUAUGCACACUCACCACGACUGUAUAACUCAAACCUAUAGGGUGUUUUCUGAGUGUUGGAUUUGGUGGUAUGUGCAGGGACUUAGCCUUAGUAUUACUUUAGUCUAAAAAAGGCUUUUCAAUUGCACUGUACCAAUGAACACUGUUUUGAACCACAUUUCAUUUUAUUUACAAGCUUGCCACUAGGAUAGGAUGCUUUUAACCAACUUUGACUUAAUUUACAAAAUUGCCACUCUGGCUUAAAAACCUAUUUUCUGCUGUUGGUUGCAUUUCACCUUUGACUCGGUAACAGAGAGGGGAGGGGGGCAUCUCUGUCGAAGACAAUCGCUCCCAUUUUUGACUCGGAGACAGCUGGGUGUGCCUCUGGCGAGCGGAGAGAGGGGACAGAGCGACUACAAAGGAGGGAGACACAGGGCCUGAUAGAUUGGAGCUACGGGUUGGACUGAGUGAGAGAGAGAUUUAGGUAGGUGCUCUGCCAGGAUGUAUGGGAUUUUCUCCCAUUUUAGAGAGAGAGAUGGGCCAAGAGAGAGAUACAGAGCAGAAAGCAUGGGUGUGUGUAUUCUUUAGGGUUAACGGGUUACGCACGGAGUCGGUGAGGAGGGGAUGGGUGAGGGACGAAUGGCAAGGUCUGGGAUUUCAAUUUUCUCCCUUGAUUCAAAAG